Molecule: unclassified non-coding RNA, 46 nt
Filed under: Leishmania tarentolae
Lineage: Eukaryota; Euglenozoa; Kinetoplastea; Trypanosomatida; Trypanosomatidae
Description: guide RNA
Source: RNAcentral
CUCAUCUACAACACAGACGAGAGAAUAGCGGUAAUAUGAAUACGUA